UACGGAGGGUGCGAGCGUUGUCCGGAUUUAUUGGGUUUAAAGGGUGCGUAGGCGGGCGUUUAAGUCAGCGGUGAAAUCCCACGGCUCAACCGUGGAACUGCCAUUGAUACUGGGCGCCUUGAGUACCGUUGGGGUAGGCGGAAUUUAUGGUGUAGCGGUGAAAUGCAUAGAUACCAUAAGGAACCCCGAUAGCGUAGGCGGCUUACUGAGCGGUAACUGACGCUGAGGCACGAAAGCAUGGGUAGCGAACAGG
Molecule: ribosomal RNA, 253 nt
Filed under: uncultured bacterium
Lineage: Bacteria
Description: partial 16S ribosomal RNA
Rfam family: Bacterial small subunit ribosomal RNA
Source: RNAcentral